CUCGUGUCUGGAAAUCAUGGUGGCUCUCGUUCGUGUUGUACGCGGCCUUUCUUUGGUGUCUGUCGAGAUGAUGAGGAACAGAGCUGCGGGUUCCAUCAUAAAAGUUAUGGAUGGACUUUUGGUAAAAAUGAACAGAAGCAGGACGUGGAUGGUCAUCAGAAAUGAGAAAGCAAAGAUUGAAGAUAUUGGCUAUGGACUUUUAGAAAAAGUCAUGUGA
This 217-nucleotide long non-coding RNA is filed under the name Castor canadensis (American beaver). RNAcentral's name for it is "lncRNA (ENSCCNG00000019247.1)". Lineage: Eukaryota; Metazoa; Chordata; Mammalia; Rodentia; Castoridae. The record is from RNAcentral.